This is a long non-coding RNA of Myotis lucifugus (little brown bat), 2416 nucleotides long. RefSeq lists it as uncharacterized. NCBI's taxonomy places the organism in Eukaryota, Metazoa, Chordata, Mammalia, Chiroptera, Vespertilionidae. The transcript has 2 exons. The record is from RefSeq and is a predicted model, not a curated record.
UGGCAGCUGCCUGACCCCUGGACUGGAAUUAAAGCCCCUGCGGAAUUGGACCAGGAAGAUCCAGCCCCUUUCACUGAGCUGGGCAGAGGCAGUGGCCCAGCCUGCUCCCCGCGCAGCAGGUGCUGGGCCACAGCUUCCCUUUCCCCUCCUAAGCCCCCCGUGCUCACCAUCCGACCGCUGGUGACCUACAGCAGCAGAAACCACACCCAAGCCCAGAGGAAGAGCUCUGCAGCAGUCAAGGUGAGAUGAGGGGCACGGCCGCCUUCUCCUUUGUUGCUCCCCUUAGGCACAGCGCCCAUUGCUGCAGCUGGCCCAGCCAGAGGUGGCUGGGGCCUGGCCUGGGACAGUCAGAGGCUUUACUGGGUGAGACUGAACCCCCUGUUGCUCCCUGGGGUUUCAGAGGCUUAGCUGCUGCCAGUUUAGCUUGAAGCAAAAUACAUGCUCUGAUCUCCCCUCGUGAGCUGAGCAGGGGACCCCUUCUUUCUAUUCGGGGGCCCAGAAUAUAGCUGCCUCCCCACAGGGUGCUUUUCUGAAAUCUUGGGCUCAGUCAAGGUCUCAGGCCUGUGAUGCUCCAUGAGGAGGGCAUGGGGUGAAGACCACACAGGCACUGCUCCUGACGGGAUGCUUGGGUCCAGAAUGUACACCCAGGAGAGGAAGGCUCAGGUAGACGGAGCAGAGAGGGUGCUGGGGGGAACAGAGGGGCAUUUCUGGGGGCUCUGGGGAGGUGGCACAGGAGGCAGAAGCCCAGAAUUGCCGAUCAAGAUGCGCUUCAAUGCCCUGGAGCCCAGAGCAGCCAUGUGAAUGGAAAGUUCACCUGGCAGUGGCCAUAGUGUGAGGGAAUUCGCUGGAAAGGCAUGGACCAGAGGCUCGAGUGAGUCAGAAGGCUGAACAAAGGCACAUGUUCAGCCCACAAGAACCAGAGACCCACAGUCCCGGCCCUCGGUGCCUCACAGCCCUGGCCAGUCUGCCUGGCCACCUCUCGGCAUUCUGGGGGGGCCACUCCUGAGACAGGAGCCCCACUCCCGGAGGACCUACAUCUUCCCUUCUCUGAGCAGGAGCAGCCGAUGUGUGGCGACAGCUCAGGGUUGUAACCCAAUCCCUGGGGACCUUAGUUUCGCCUUGUGUAAAUGAGGCAGUUUGACCGGAUUCCGCUCUAAAAUCCUAUGAGCUCGGCAGCUCUAGAGGAAGUGAGGAGUCGGCUCCAGAAAAGGGGAUACUUGACAGGAAUAACUGCAGAGACUUUGCCCUGAGGCCGAGGGCCCCAAGCUGACGGCCACUGCCAGGCAACAGCCUCUGUGCCCAAGAGGGACUGGGUGACAGCCACAGCCACCCCCUACCCGAGGAAUGCAUUCUGGGGCCAGGUUAACCAGUUAACUGCCACGAUAUUUUGAAUUUAAUUAAGAAAGGUCCGCCGCUUGCAUCUAUAGACGCUAUGGCGUACAAAUGGUUAAGACAAGCAAGCGGUCUAGACAAAAAAGAGCCCAUCCCCCUCUAUGUACAGUCCACACUCGCAGACAUGGACCAAUUGGGAGAGGACGGUGAAGGGUUCUGGAUCAAAGCAACUGAUGCGCAGGGGAACAAGCAGGAGGUUUCACCUGGAAAUGGACAGACAGGGAGAGGGCGCUGGGGGCACAGCAGGGUCACUGUCAGAGGCUUAGCUUAACCUGAAGAGCUUUCUCAGGGAGCUUAUCCGACAAGGAAGGGCCUGCUCUAGAACGUGUAGCCCCUUGUCACUGGCGCUGUGUCCUCCGGGCUGGGCUCUCACUGCUCAGAUGGCUGUGUUCAACCAGAUGACCUUACAGUCCCUCUCACCCCAGUGAAGUGAUGAACUGUGUGAACUCGGAACAAAAAGGUCUGCUCUGGGUUCUCACAGCUAUUCAUGAUGGAAGCGGAGAAACUGCUCCUAGGCCCAGCAACCAACGUGAGUUUAUAUGAUGGACUACCAUGUGCUGUCACACAUGAACUGCGGUGAUGUGUAAAUGAAGCAAGAAGCAGUGCGCGGGACCCAGGGCCUCACUAGUCAGGACUCCGGGAAAUUGUGUACAUUAAGGAGGAGAGUUGGUGCCUGUAAAAAGAAUAUUUAUCUAAAAACAUGGACCUACUUAGUACUAUGGAAUUAGACCAUAAGAAGAAAAGAGCAUCUCCCCACCCCAGCACUGCUCCCCUGCUAGUCACUUGCAGUUAUCUUAGCUAUUUAUUUUUGUAACAUGCUUACACUGGUCUUGUUCGAUUUGUCAAUCUCAGACACUAUCUGUUGGCUCCCUUUCCUAACAGAUGAGGGACACCAUCCCUUCCUUGUCUUUCCAGUUUGUAGGUGAAUCAAUAUUCAGUUUGGAUUACAAUUUAUAUUAUGUGAAAAUUAUUCACUGUGAACCAAGAAUUGGGCUAUAAUUAAAUUACCUUUUGAGUACCGGUA